RNAcentral lists this small RNA (3525 nucleotides) under Pongo abelii (Sumatran orangutan). RNAcentral's name for it is "processed transcript". The record is from RNAcentral. Lineage: Eukaryota; Metazoa; Chordata; Mammalia; Primates; Hominidae.
GUUAAAUGUGUUUACCUUAAAUAGGCUUACUGUGUUCACUGCCGGACGCCUCUGGGCAAUCUUAUCCUCCUGGGAACUGAGAGAGACAAUGCUAGGAGCUAGAAACAUGAGGAAUACAUGAGCUCGGUGCCAAUGGAACGUGCUUUCACACCGGGUGCAGCUGACUACCACAUCAUACAAAACUCAUCACUGCCGUUUUAGAUGUGUAAUCUGAUUGGCAUGGGCUCACAGAGGAGGGAGUAAGGGAAGAGUAAGAAGAUUUCAAAGGAGAGACACAGGUUGCAGGUUAGCAGGAGAACAGGCAAGCCAAAUGCAAAGGAGCCACUUCAGAAAUGUCACAGAAAAGUGAAAAUGCAGCCUAGUGGUAAAUGAAGAGGGGAAGAAGAAAGAAAAAGGACCAGAACCGUGAACUGAAGGGACGGGGAACAGCCAGAGGAGAGCUUCAGCCAUCACGAGGAUGAUUUCGGAACCUGGAGAAAAUGUGUUCCUGGCUCUAUGCCAAAUGCAUCCUGGACUGGAAACCUCAGAGCUAUAAAGUGGAGUGACAUGGAAGACAGACACGGAGGCUGCCACGGCCACUAUGUACGUGGUAUUUGUAUCUAUGGAAACGGAGACUUAAAGUGGCUGGUUAAUUCACCAAGCCUGUUUGCUAACAAGUUUGAGCUUAAUACCUACCCCCUUACUGUGGAAUGCCUAGAACUGAGGCAUCGCGAAAGAACCCUCAAUCAGAGUGAAACUGCGAUACAACCCAGCUGGUAUUUUUGAACUAUUCGUGAGCUGCUCAUGACUGAAGGGAAACUGCAGCUGGGAAGAGGAGCCUGUUUUUGUGAGAGACUUUUGCCUUCGUAAUGUUAAUGGUUUCAGGACCACGUUUAUAGCUUCAGGACCUGGCUACAUAAUUAUAUUUAAAAUAUCCACUGGACACUGUGAAAUACACUAACAGGAUGGCUGGGUAGAGCAAUCUGGGCACUUCAGCCAAUUUUAGUCUUGCUGUUUCUUGAUGCUCACCUCUAUAUUAGUUUAUUGUUAGGAGCAACGAUAAAUUUAAAUGACCUCAGAUCUUUGCACCAGAUACUCAUCAUAUACAAAUGUUUUAAUAAAAAAGAGAACUAUAGAUAAUACUGUCUAGGAAAAUAAGAAUUAGGUUUCUUUGAAGAAGGAAUCUUUUAUAACACUUAAACAGUCACCGCUGUGCCCAACCAGACAGAUACUGAAACAGCUUUCUGGGUAAUUCACCAAUUUCCUUUAAAACAUAAGCUACCUGAAUGGAGAAUAGAUCUUGUUUCUGAGUUUCAACACUAGCAUUUUUGGCUUACUCAUGGACAAAGUUCUGUAUAUAGUAUAAAGUCAUUAACAAGAAACAGGAUAUGCUUUAAGACAGAAUUCACUGUCUGUUGCUUCAGUAAAAGGACCUCGGGGAAUAGAACAUUUCUCUCUUAUAUGCCAGAAUGUAGGCUGGUACCUAUGUCAUGUCUUCCAUUGAGAACACUAAAAAGUCUUUGCAAGAAUGCAGAUACGCAUUCAAGAGAGGCGCUAUCACAUAGAUCUAGUCUGAAGUCUGGCACACUUCCCUCUUCUAUGACCCCCUUCUCCCCAGUAUCAUCUUACUUGCAAAAUAGAGACCAAAUGCUAUCCUGUGAGGCUUUUAAUUGCACCAUAGUAUGCUCUGAGUAGCUUUACACUGCCUGGUACUGAUAGUAGUGGCUCGAUUUUUAAGAGCCUUCAAUUGUAGAUGAGCAUCUCUGUUAUUUAUCCCUCAUUCAUCCAUCCAUUCAUUCAUUCAGCCUUCAUUCAAUAAACAUCUCUUGAGUGUCUAUUAUGUACAGGACAUGUACUGAGACAAAAAGGAAACAUAAGAGCUUUUUCACUCUAAAAAUCUUGGCAAUAAUGUCAACACCAGAAAGCCUCCUCUGGAGAAUCUUACAGAGUGAUUGUAGUUUAAUACAGGAACGCACAGGGCUGUGUAGCAUGAUACCAGGCCCAGGAGAUCAGUAAUUACAAAUUAAGGGUUAAAUCAGAGAUUAUUCAACAGAGAGGGAGAAAGGAGGAGACAGAGCGAGGACCUGUUUGUUCCAGCCAUUCUGGUAUUCCUUUAUGUAUCUAAUUUCAUUCAAACCUCACAACAGUCUUGUGAGGCCCUUACAUAAUUACUCCAUUUUGCAGAUGAAGUAACUGAGGCUUAGAAAGGUUAAUAGCACCAGGGAACAAUUUCUCUGGGUGAGAAUUGGGACUCUGUUGCUGGUCUUCUCAGUUCAUUUCCUGAGGUGGAUUUACUGACAGAAGGUGAAAUAAAGCCAUAUUUAGUAUACCAGAGAAGGUAGAUUUUAAGAAUGGUCUCAGUGUUAAUAUUGAGAAAAAGUCCUCUCAGCUCAGAAAAAAUGUGAAGUCUACUUUAGUAUUCCUGUAAUACUAAACCGUUGAGUUUCUAAAUAUUUAUUUAUUCUAACAAAAAUCAAUUACUACAAUGGAUGACACAUUUAAUGAACACAAUUUUAUUUUCUUUCUGUAACUGUGCCUGUUGAAUGUCAAUCAUAUUUAAAGGGAAUGACGUUGAAGUAAAACCUUUUUUCUUGCUACUGAAAAAAAUGGAAUUGUUUUGGGUGGUAAAGGGUUAAGGAAUAGGGAAGGCUGGUCACACAAGCAACUCUCGAAGGCCACAUGUGAAAACCUGUCACUUGCACAGGGGCCAGCCCCGCUAAGGUGACCAGACUGGGCUCCAAGCACAAAUUGCCAUUGCUGUAGAUGGGACUGUAUCCCCUCAAAAUUCAUGUGUGGGAGCCUUAACCCUCAACGUGAUGGUAUUUGAGAUGGGGCCUUUGGUAAGGGAAGUUUAGAUGAGGUCACGAGGGUAGGAUCCUCAUGAUGGGAUGAGUCCCCUUAUAAGAGCUCUGGCUUGGGCCGGGCGUGGUGGCUCAUGCCUGUAAUCCCAACACUUUGGGAGGCCAAGGCAGGUGGAUCACUUGAUGCCAGGAGUCCCAGACCAGCCUGUCCAACAUGGUGAAACCCCAUCUCUACUAAAAAUUAUAAAAAUUAGCUGGGCUUGGUGGCAUGUGCCUGUAAUCCCAGCUAUUUGGCAGGCUGAGGGAUAAGAAUCGCUUGAACCCAGGAGGUGGAGGUUGCAGUGAGCUGAGAGCACCCCACUGCACUCCAGCCUAGGUGACAGAGCGAGACUUUGUCUCAAAACAAAAUAGGUGGGGGGGUAGGGAAUGCACUCAGGGUCAGCAGUGGAGUUUAAAAAUUGUCUCUUUUCAACUUAUUUAAAUGACAGCACCUGAGAAGAAGAAACGUUUUACACUGGAUGUUCCUCAUGUAGAACGAGAAAUCUUUCUGGAAUUGAUGUUUACAUGUCCGUUGUUGGUCAUCUCUCCUAUGUCUUAAAUACUUUAAUGUUGGAAGAGCAUAGUGUUUGGGCUAGUGGGUUUCUGACAGCCCAUAGGAAUGCCCUGAAACUACUGUAUCUGAUGUUUGUUUUCGAUGAGGUUCCAUGUUUUGUUUUCUUGGGAAUAAAUUAAUAUAUUGUUUUCC